AAUUAAAGAAGCUACAUUUGUAGGCACUUCUUCAAUCCACACUUGAACCUCAGGAGCAGUAUCUUCAAGAUGCAACUUAGCCAAAGCAUGAGCGACGGAAUUAACAGACCAACGAACAAAGGACCAGGAACAAUCAUCCAACAGAUGCAUCAAAUCAAACAAUCUUGCAGAACAAAUCCCAGAUCAUUAUUAGGACAGUUAGUGGACCGAAUAAGUUGAAUGACAUGAAGACAAUCAGAUUCAACAAUCACCCUUUGGAAACUCAAAUCUACCGCUAAUUGCAAACCAAAAAGUACAGCCCUUGCCUCAGAAACUGCAGUUGACCAAGAGCCAUAGACUCUUUCAAUAGCAGACAUCAAGACUUCCCCUCCAGGGUCCCGAAAAACAACACCUAACUGGAUCCACCCAGGAACUACAACUCUUGCAUCACAAUUCAACUUAAUAAAGUUUUGGGGAGGAGAAGACCACCGAAGAUUACAAGUCGUAGCUAACUGCUGUACAACCCCAUCUUUAUCAUUUAUUUUUCGCACCUCCGACAACAAAGAAGUCACUUCAAUAGCCAGCUCCAGAGAAGAAAAAUGGUUACCAUCAAAAAGCAAUUUGUUUCGACCAAUCCAAAUAAAAUAGCAUAAGCAUGCAACUGUUGGUAACUCCUCACGGGAACACUUUUCCAACAGCCCAGACCACCAAUGUUUAAACAUCAAACCCUCAAUCAAACAAACCAAAUCUAGCCCACAAGAAGACCACACUUGAUGUGUAGAAACACAGUCUCGACAAAGAUGCAUAGGGGUUUCCUCAAGUCCACAAAGCGGGCAAGAGGGAGUGAUUG
RNAcentral lists this unclassified non-coding RNA (829 nucleotides) under Hevea brasiliensis (rubber tree). Lineage: Eukaryota; Viridiplantae; Streptophyta; Magnoliopsida; Malpighiales; Euphorbiaceae. The record is from RNAcentral.